CUGGCGGCAGGCUUAACACAUGCGAGUUGAGCGGGAUGGUUAGUAGCUUGCUAUUAACCAUGAGAGCAGCGCACUGGUGAGUAACACGUGGGAACAUACCUUUUGGUGGGGGACAACAGUUGGAAACGACUGCUAAUACCGCAUAAGCCCUGAGGGGGAAAGAUUUAUUGCCGAAAGAUUGGCCCGCGGAAGAUUAGGUAGUAGGUGGGGUAAUGGCCUACCUAGCCAACGAUCUAUAGCUGGUCUGAGAGGACGAUCAGCCACAUUGGAACUGAGACACGGUCCAGACUCCUACGGGAGGCAGCAGUGAGGAAUAUUGGGCAAUGGAGGGAACUCUGACCCAGCCAUGCCGCGUGAGUGAAGAAGGUUUUCGGAUUGUAAAGCUCUUUCGGACGGGAAGAUGAUGACGGUACCGUCUAAAGAAGCACCGGCUAACUUCGUGCCAGCCGCUGC
RNAcentral lists this ribosomal RNA (453 nucleotides) under uncultured bacterium. RNAcentral describes it as "bacterial SSU rRNA". It matches the Rfam family "Bacterial small subunit ribosomal RNA", at positions 36 to 518 of the family's 1533-position model. The record is from RNAcentral.